This 60-nucleotide ribosomal RNA is filed under the name Trichosporon asahii. RNAcentral's name for it is "partial 26S ribosomal RNA". Lineage: Eukaryota; Fungi; Basidiomycota; Tremellomycetes; Trichosporonales; Trichosporonaceae. The record is from RNAcentral.
UGACUCUGGCCUGAAAUCAGGUAGGACUACCCGCUGAACUUAAGCAUAUCAAUAAGCGGA